Molecule: ribosomal RNA, 253 nt
Filed under: uncultured bacterium
Lineage: Bacteria
Description: partial 16S ribosomal RNA
Rfam family: Bacterial small subunit ribosomal RNA
Source: RNAcentral
UACAGAGGGUGCAAGCGUUAAUCGGAAUUACUGGGCGUAAAGCGUGCGUAGACGGUUAUGUAAGUCGGGUGUGAAAGCCCCGGGCUCAACCUGGGAAUGCCAUUCGAGACUGCAUAGCUAGGGUGCGGAAGAGGGAAGCGGAAUUUCCGGUGUAGCGGUGAAAUGCGUAGAUAUCGAGAGGAACACCUGCGGCGAAGGCGGGUUGCUGGGCUGACACUGACGCUGAAGCGCGAAAGCUAGGGGAGCGAACGGG